GACGAACGCUGGCGGCGUGCUUAACACAUGCAAGUCGAACGGUGAACCUCUUCGGAGGGGAUCAGUGGCGAACGGGUGAGUAACACGUGGGCAACCUGCCCCCGGCUCUGGGAUAACUCCAAGAAAUUGGGGCUAAUACCGGAUGUUCACCGCUUCCCGCAUGGGUGGUGGUGGAAAGGGUUGGCGGCUGGGGGUGGGCCCGCGGCCUAUCCGCUUGUUGGUGGGGUAGUGGCCUACCAAGGCGACGACGGGUAGCCGGCCUGAGAGGGUGACCGGCCACACUGGGACUGAGACACGGCCCAGACUCCUACGGGAGGCAGCAGUGGGGAAUAUUGCGCAAUGGGCGGAAGCCUGACGCAGCGACGCCGCGUGGGGGAUGACGGCCUUCGGGUUGUAAACCUCUUUCAGCAGGGACGAAGCGCAAGUGACGGUACCUGCAGAAGAAGCGCCGGCCAACUACGUG
RNAcentral lists this ribosomal RNA (463 nucleotides) under uncultured bacterium. RNAcentral describes it as "partial 16S ribosomal RNA". It matches the Rfam family "Bacterial small subunit ribosomal RNA", at positions 28 to 507 of the family's 1533-position model. The record is from RNAcentral.